Molecule: small nuclear RNA, 102 nt
Organism: Rhinolophus ferrumequinum (greater horseshoe bat)
Lineage: Eukaryota; Metazoa; Chordata; Mammalia; Chiroptera; Rhinolophidae
Source: Ensembl
GUUCGUUUCGGCAGCACAUACACUAAAAUUGGAAAGAUACAGAGAUUCAUAUGGUCCCUGUUCAAGGCUGACACCCAGACUGGUGAGGCGUUCCAUAUUUCU